RNAcentral lists this transfer RNA (68 nucleotides) under Iphione sp. YZ-2018. RNAcentral describes it as "tRNA-Ile". Lineage: Eukaryota; Metazoa; Annelida; Polychaeta; Phyllodocida; Iphionidae. The record is from RNAcentral.
GAUACUACGCCGGGCACGAACGGAUAACUCUGAUGACGUUAAUCACGGGACUAUUGUCUCUAGUAUCU